RNAcentral lists this ribosomal RNA (406 nucleotides) under uncultured bacterium. Its description in RNAcentral is "partial 16S ribosomal RNA". It matches the Rfam family "Bacterial small subunit ribosomal RNA", at positions 28 to 526 of the family's 1533-position model. The record is from RNAcentral.
GACGAACGCUGGCGGCGUGCCUAAUACAUGCAAGUCGUACGCAGUUGCGAACGUGUUAUUAACGCGUCGGUAACUGCCUGUUAGUGGGGGAUAACUAUUGGAAACGAUAGCUAAUACCGCCUACUAGUAGAUUUACCUUCGUUGUAUUAGCUAGUAGGUCGGGUAACGGCCUACCUAGGCGACGAUACAUAGCCGGUCUGAGAGGGUGACCGGCCACACUGGGACUGAGACACGGCCCAGACGCCUACGGGAGGCAGCAGUAGGGAAUAUUCGACAAUGGGGGGAACCCUGACGGAGCAACGCCGCGUGUAUGAAGAAGGCCUUCGGGUUGUAAAGUACUUUCAGCGGGGAGCGUUACCCGCAGAAGAAGCACCGGCUAACUCCGUGCCAGCAGCCGCGGUAAUAC